ACAGCAGACAGAAGUUGGAAGAGUUAUUUUCCUUAUUCGAAGUCGAUAAGACACACAACUGCAUAAAUACGCAUUUGUGGCAUCAUUUGACGGUCGCCUGGAAGCUCUUUUCGAUUCUGUGUUAGCGCCGCGGAGCAAGUGCCUGUAGUGACGGUAGCCUGUGAGCUCUGCUUUUACGCCUCAGGACUGCCUUCUUGGCGGUGCCAUUCCUCCGCAUCGUUCAUCGCCUUUCGUUCUCCAAGUGAGCCCUCGUUUCACAAGGGCUUGGAUGCCAGCAGCGUAGAAAUCCUUACCGGCGCGUAGCAGCCAUGAUCGGACCGCAUUCUUGACCUCGUCGUCGCAGCUGAAGUGGCGGCCCCCAAGGCCCGAAGAGAUGGAAACCGCUGGGGGCGAGGUCUGGACUGUAAGGGGGAUGUGGCAGCAACUCCCAGCCAAGUUCCUGUAAGCCUGGCCACCAAGGGCGCUACAGGGCUCCCCCCCAGACCGUACUUAAAAGGAACGGUCGACGUAUCUAAAGCCCAAGUGACACGUUUGGUUGGUGUGCCCUGAUGUGGAGAGGAGCUGUCGAGUGUAAGAGAAGUGGACGACGGGAGGCAGGAUGCUAUGUAGGCGGGCUUGACUCGAUCGAGGGAGACGGUGUCAGUCUUGCCGUUGAUCUCGAUACGCACAGUCUUGGGUGUCCUGGAUAGGACGGGAUAGGGACCGGAGUAAGACGGCGUCAGCGAGGGCUUCGCACGGUCGUUUCUGACGAAAACAUGCGUCGCCGUGCUUAGGUCCUGGCUAACGAAGACUGUGCGGCGUGUGGGCAUGCGAGGUGGGACGGGAGUGACGUGUCGGGAUAACUCCUUUAGGUCCCGAACGUAGUCACUGGGGGACGGGUGCGGUUGAUCGGCGCUUGGGGUGAGGAAGUCUCCAGGAAGGCGUAGAGGGGAACCAUAGACGAGCUCGGCUGGUGCGCACUGGAGAUCCUGCUUGACAGCGACGCGCAUGCCGAGCAACGCAAAAGGAAGAUGUUGGGCCCAGCGUAAUCGGGAGGGUUGCGCAGUGAGGGCUACUUUCAACUGGCGGUGCAGGCGCUCAACCAAACCAUUCGCCGCUGGGUGGUAGGCGGUUGUCUGGAUAUGGUGCGCUCCGAGGAGGUUGGUGAGGGCUGAGAAGAGGGCACAACGGAACUGUGGACCCCGGUCCGUUGUGACAGUGGAUGGACAGCCGAACCGUGCUACCCAUGUGGUCACGAAGACUUCGGCGACGGUUUGGGCUGAGAUAUCUGCUAAGGGAACAGCCUUGGGCCACCUUGUAUACCGAUUCACACAAGUCAGAAUGUACUUGCAGCCAUGAGAUGUGGGUAGUGGGCCGCCUAUAUCGACAUGGACGUGGUCGAAUCGGGCUCGCGGCGGAAGGAAGGUGUGCAGCUGGGUUUUCGUGUGCCGCCCAACUUUCGAGCGCUGGCAGGAGACGCACGUUCUCACCCAUCGCUGUACGUCUUCAUGGAUGCCUGGCCAAACGUAUCGUGCUGUGAGAAGCUUCUGAGAAGCGCGGACACCAGGGUGGGCCAGAUUAUGGGCAGCGUGGAAGAUCUUCCUGCGGAGUGCGACAGGAAUAAAUGGACGGUUUGUGCCUGUGGUUGUGUCACAAAGUAAAUGGUGUAAAUGGUGUUCGUGCUGUUCGGGGGAUGAGCUGAAGACAAGGAGGUCGUCAAUGUAGGCUACCACAAAGUCCAGUCCGCGGGUUACUUCGUUGAUGAAACGCUGGAAAGUUUGAGCAGAGUUCCGCAGGCCAAAUGGCAUUCGGACGUACUCAAACAAUCCAAAGGGAGUUGUGAUGGCAGUCUUCGGGAUAUGCUCAGCCUCCAUCGGGAUCUGAUGGUAGGCUUUAACUAAGUCCACCUUGGAAAACGUAGUAGCUCCCGCUAAUAGCUCAGAAAAAUCAUGAAUGUGUGGUAGAGGAUAUCGAUCGGGGAUUGUGCUCGCAUUCAGGGCUCUGUAGUCACCACAUGGCCUCCAGUCAUUGGCCUCCUUCUUGGGAACCAUAUGUAGUGGCGAAGCCCAAUUACUGGCGGACGGUCGUAUAAUUCCCAGGGCCAGCAUGUGCUCAAAUUCCCGACGAGCUAUGGCCAGGCGUUCGCCGGAAAGACGUCGGAAGCGUGACGUGACCGGUGGACCUGUUGUCUCGACGCGGUGCGUGACAUUAUGUUUCACUGGUGCGGAAAGGUUGCAUGGCUUCACGAGUUCCGGGAAUGACGCAAGAUCUUCUCGUAGAGUGAAGUUGGCAUAAAUGUGCAAAUACUAGCAGACUGUGCUCUAGAGACGGAAGCGACGGUAACGAGGUUCGUGAUAUUGUCCCGCAGGCGGCGCUGCCUUAUGCUGACGUCGAGAUUGUGGAAAUGUAGGAAAUCUGCCCCAAGGAUCGGGUGCUCCACGUCGGCAACCACGAAGAGCCACCUGAACGUCCUGCGUAAGCCGAUAUCGAGAGUGAGGGAACGUAGACCGUAUGUGCUUAUGGUGGACCUGUUCGCAGCUUGCAGUGCUGGCGUGAGACCCGGACGAACUUUCUUGUCGGAAGGUUUUGCGGGUAUAACGCUGACUUGUGCACCAGUGUCCACAAGGAAACGGUGGUUCCCGAUUCGAUCCCUGACAUACAGAAGGCGGGCGGGUCG
This is a long non-coding RNA of Ornithodoros turicata, 2656 nucleotides long. RefSeq lists it as uncharacterized. The record is from RefSeq and is a predicted model, not a curated record. Lineage: Eukaryota; Metazoa; Arthropoda; Arachnida; Ixodida; Argasidae. The transcript is spliced from 3 exons.